GAUGAACGCUGGCGGCGUGCUUAACACAUGCAAGUCGAACGGAAAGGCCCAAGCUUGCUUGGGUACUCGAGUGGCGAACGGGUGAGUAACACGUGGGUGAUCUGCCCUGCACUUCGGGAUAAGCCUGGGAAACUGGGUCUAAUACCGGAUAGGACCACAUUUUGGAUGGUGUGGUGGAAAGUUUUUCGGUGUGGGAUGAGCUCGCGGCCUAUCAGCUUGUUGGUGGGGUAAUGGCCUACCAAGGCGUCGACGGGUAGCCGGCCUGGGAGGGUGUACGGCCACAUUGGGACUGAGAAACGGCCCAGACUCCUACCGGAGGCAGCAGGGGGGAAUAUUGGACAAUGGGCGCAAGCCUGAUGCAGCGAAGCCGGGGGGGGGAUGACGGCCUUCGGGUUGGAAAACCUUUUCCAUAGGGACGAAGGGUUAUGUGACGGUACCUGGAGAAGAAGCACCGGCUAACUACGUG
This 466-nucleotide ribosomal RNA is filed under the name uncultured bacterium. RNAcentral describes it as "partial 16S ribosomal RNA". It matches the Rfam family "Bacterial small subunit ribosomal RNA", at positions 28 to 507 of the family's 1533-position model. The record is from RNAcentral.